GCGUCGUCCCAGAACGCCGUCGGUAACGUGGUAACGGUUCCCUGUAAAUUGUUGUCGCCCCUUUGUAAGUCGUCGUUCCCGUCAAUUUUCGUCGAAUUUUCUGUCAUCGUAAAAGUGCGUGACGUUCCAAAAUCGCCCCCUUGAAAAUCCCACCGAUUUGUAAAAUUUUUCAGUGUUUAGGUUCGUUCGUGCGACGUCCACAAGAGGGUGCAACUCGUCGUGACGUCACGCACAAGCGAUCAGUCAGAGCAAUAUGUCGGCGUGUUGGUGGAGCAAGUGAUAGUUAUUGUGUGGAAAAAUAAAAUAAAAGGGGCAUCCAAAUUUGUGAGACGACACGCGAAAAGACUCGAUUGAAAUUAGCACGAUGGCGUCGCAUUGCAUCGGCAAAUCGGAGUUUAUAGUUGGUGGCAAGUAUCGGUUAAUUCGGAAAAUCGGCAGUGGCUCCUUCGGGGACAUCUACUUGGGCAUCAACAUCACAAACGGAGAGGAAGUCGCUGUAAAACUCGAAUCAAUUAGAGCAAGACACCCCCAACUCCUCUACGAAAGUAAAUUGUACAAAAUUCUACAUGGUGGCAUAGGAAUCCCACAUAUCAGAUAUUACGGCCAAGAAAAAGAACACAACGUUCUGGUGAUGGACCUCCUCGGUCCAUCACUGGAAGACCUGUUCAAUUUUUGUUCGCGUCGUUUCACGAUCAAAACCGUUCUGAUGUUGGCCGACCAGAUGAUCGGCCGUAUUGAAUACGUCCAUUGCAAGUCUUUCAUUCAUCGCGACAUCAAACCGGACAACUUCCUCAUGGGCAUUGGUCGCCACUGCAACAAACUCUUCCUGAUCGACUUUGGUUUAGCGAAGAAGUUUAGAGAUGCACGCACUAGGAUGCACAUCGGAUAUCGCGAAGAUAAGAACUUGACGGGAACGGCACGAUAUGCCUCGAUCAACGCCCAUCUGGGCAUUGAACAGUCGCGACGUGACGACAUGGAGUCGCUCGGCUACGUGCUGAUGUACUUCAACAGGGGCUGUUUGCCGUGGCAAGGGCUCAAAGCGGCCACCAAGAAGCAGAAGUACGAGAAGAUUAGCGAGAAGAAGAUGUCCACGCCGGUCGAGGUCCUCUGCAAGGGCUUUCCGGCGGAGUUCUCGAUGUACCUCAAUUACUGUCGCGGCCUCCGUUUCGAAGAGGCCCCCGAUUACAUGUACCUAAGACAGCUGUUCCGGAUUCUGUUCCGCACAUUGAAUCACCAAUACGACUACACGUUCGACUGGACCAUGCUGAAACAGAAGGCGGCAGCUACAGGAGGAACAGUGGCCGAAACGUCGGCCCAACCACAGACAUCGCGAGUUGUAAUAUCUCAGCAAACAGCGAACCGUGACAAAAAAGAUGACGAAAAGAACAAGCAAAAUUCUGCUAAAGGUCAGCCAGUUGUCACGAAGCUUCUAUAAAGGAUCAACGCUGUAUUUAAAAACACUGUUAGUUUUCAUCCUUUUUUGAGUGUUUGAUUUUUAUUUUAAUUUUUAAUUAAAGCUUUUGGCAACCGUUAACACGCCCCACAUGCACCACCACCGACUGGGUCUAACCGACUUCGCAUAUAGUUGGUCAAAGCAAAAAUAAAAUUAUAAUAAACAAAAAUUAAGAGGUUGUCUUGAUGGACGCUGACAAUUUUAUAUAAAAAAUUAUUAAAACAUUAUUGUAAGUGAGCAUACACGAAUUAAUUUUCUUUACCCGCCGUUAAUGGGAAAUUGUAUAAAAAUAUAUUAAAAAACAAACAAAAAAUUUAAGGGCGAGGCCACUCACAAAUAGGCCACGUCUCCUCGAGUAUGAUAGUGGAUUAGUGAUGCGUGGGAGUGAAUGCAAGUCUGGCUGUAUUAUUUAAUAUGUUAAGAAAUAGAUUGUAAAAUAAUGGAAACAAAAGUGAGUACCGUAAACGUCACUAAGGAUUUGAAAAUUAAUGCGGAACUCUUGACGAGCCUACGACAUUCAGGCGCUGCACGGUAAAACGUGGUCGUUAAAUGUGAUCAUUGAUUUGUUAGAUUCUCUCAUUACUUGAGCCUCGUUUUACAGUGCGGCUUGUACAUUUUAUAAUAAUGGUGUUAAUGUAUUUUACUUUUGUUUUUUAUCGUAUGGGUAUAAUAAGAACUGAUGGGUGCGGCGUUGUCCGCACCUUCUAGUUGUUUAAAAUCAACAAAGUUGCUUUCGUUAGGUAACCCCGGCAAAAUGUUUGACACGAGUAAAUCGGAUCGAUGCACAUUCAGAAAUUCUAUUAAAACAUCAAAGUGUAGUGUUUUAAACUAUGCUCUAUUUUUAUCGCAGGCUGUGUAAGAUUUACUUUGGUCUAAUCUGUUGUUUGAGGUUAUUUUUCUCUUUCAAAGGAUGUAUAGUUUGGAUUGAGAAUGGAGGUUUCUUUGUAUUUGACUAUGCGUCUUUUCUAUGUAGCUGCGUCUUAAGCAACUGCCAUGAACUUAAUUGUCGAUUUUUUUCCAUUGUAAAAUGUAAUAUCAGUGUGUGAAAAAUGCUCUAUUAUUACAAGCAAAUUACGAAACAAGUUACUUGUUAAAUACAAUUGUAUAAUAUGGUUUUGUCUUCAUUUAUAAUUAACUAAAUACGCUAUAGUUUUUACAAUAGUUUUUUUCAAGGGUAUCUGAGACAAACCCUUAUUUUUAAGUUAAUAACCACGUUGGAUAUUUAUGUAAAAGUAACUCUCACAAUGAGGUAAGAUUAAAGAUUGAAAUUGUA
Molecule: RNA transcript, 2726 nt
Organism: Tribolium castaneum (red flour beetle)
Lineage: Eukaryota; Metazoa; Arthropoda; Insecta; Coleoptera; Tenebrionidae
Gene name: casein kinase I
Exons: 7
Source: RefSeq, a predicted model, not a curated record